AUAAAACUGGCAGUACACACCACUCUGUUCCAAAUUUUUUUAAAAAAACUAAAGACACGGAUAAGACCCCCCCAGUCUGCAUACUGCCGAGUUCUUACGGAAAAUUUUCCUGAGAUUUGAUUUUAGGGUUUCAGUUGUUUCUGCUUCUUGGGCUCUAAAUUGUCCAUUCAGGUAAGGUUUUCGCUUCUCUCUGUGCAAGUAUGUUUUGAAUUUAGUCUUUAUUUUGCUCUGUUUGGCAGGUUGGAUAAUGUAGGAGAACAUGCGGAAAACAUGGUUCCGAAAGUCUUUAGUUUAGUAUCUUGAGGCCUUUCAAGAAAACAAAUUAUGCCUGUGAAACUUGCUUCUUGUACUUUUCUUGCUUUGUUUACUGUCUGUCUCUCCAAGUGAACAAGAGCUUUAGGAAUUGGUUUUCCCCCAAGACUUUUUCUCCCAUUUCUUGGCAACCAAACGGAGGAUUUUCUGGUUUUUUUUUUUUUUUUUUUUUCCUUCAAUACUUUUCUUUUCUUGUUUCUGUUUUUAUGUAGUGAAUAAUGUAUUUGAAAAUUCAUUUAAACCUUUUGAAUCUUUGAAGGUUCAUGUUAUGGUAAAACCCUAAUUUCGUGGUCAAAAGCUUGAGAAAUUAGGAUUUCUUGUCAGUUGUGGAUAUGAGUUUUGAGGAGGCAACAUGCAAUGGAGAUGGUAUGGAAUGCAUUCAGGGGGUACAGUUCUUGAAAAGUAAAGCAGUGGCUAGUGCAUGUGAAGUCACUGUUAUACGUAAUUCUGGGAAUGGGAGCACUAGCACAAGAGAAGGUUUUCUAACCUACAAGAGGAGGAGGUAUGCUGGGCAGAGUUUGGGGAGCAAAGUGCUAGGAUGUGGCAGAAAUUCUGUUGAAGCAGCUAGUCAAUUGGCAGGCCAGGUAUACAAAGAUGUUCUUUGCUACGUGUUUAUCAGAUUAUUUCUUGUUGGAUUUUACCGGUCAUAAAGUUAUUUGUUCACAUUUUCUUCGUAUUUCAAAAAAUUAUUUGUGAUUUUGAGCUUUUGAAGUACAAGGAUCUCUAAAAUGGUAUUGUGCAAGUUCGAACAUAAACUCAGCUUUUGUUGAACUAUAAACACAAUAGACAAGCGUCCAGAAGAUUUUGGAAUUUCUUUGGUUUUUUGAAUUAACAAAAUAAAGCUGCAUCCACGGAGAUUUUUAUUAGUAUGAGGCUCCUGUCCAAGGAUAUCUUAGAAAUGACUGAUUUGGUGUGGCUUUGGCAGUAGGAUGAACAUGAAAGGCAUCUAUCUUCAUGUGAAGUGAGGAUGGCCAUUCACAUAAUAGAGAUCUUUGCUACAAAUAAAAUUUAUUUAUUUAAUAAACUCUGUGUAGUGGUUUGUGAUUUCAAUUGAAGUUCUAAGACAGUAGUUAGGGCUUGAGUGCCCCAAUAGCAUUCACUGUUCUCACAAUGAAUUGCAUUCCUGUCUGGUAUAUAGAGAGAAAAUGUCACUCUAGAGCUCUUCUUGUUCAAUUUAAGACACGUAUGGACUUUAGGGAACUAAGGAAUCUUUUACUUUCUGUGCCAUGUUAAUGAUCCAGAACUUUAUUUCAUGGCUUUUAAUUUGCUGUAUAAGUGUUCUCUUUCAUAUGAUGCCUUAAAUGGAAAGGAAGAUGACAUAUAAUUUUGGGCGCUUUUUAGAGUUAUUAUGCUUGUUACAUAUUGAAAAAUGUGUUGCUUUCAGGUCAACUGAAAAAUCAUCUCCUUUUCUACAUUGUUUUCAUUUCAUUUGCUGGAUAACAUUCUUCCUCUUCUUCUGCAGGAUAAGAAAAUAAGAACAGCUUAUGCAUGUGAACAAUAGAUUCUUGGUGCUUGAAAUUCAUAUAUGUUUUGGAGUAAAAAGUGUGCUUGGUGCUUGAAAUUCUUGAGUUCCUAAAAUUGUAUGUACGGCGCUUGUAGGUCGGAAUGCAUAUGCGGUUUUCAUGUUUGUUAGGAUACGAUGUAUAUAACAUACGAAGAUGACUUUCUCCCCAGUGAGAGUUGUUUGGUGGGUAAGAAAUAACUCAUUCACUGUUAGGGGGAGUCAGCACCAAUAGGGGACAAAUUAACAGAAGAGUAUCUUAGAUAAUUUGGCAUGUCCAAUAUGGGACCACAGAUGUACAAAUGUGGAAGUUAGUUUUAGAAGAUUUAAUCUGAAGACGUAUCUUCAAUAAUCUCACUGAAAAGACGAUUCUUGCGUGGUUGUCUGGAUGAAGAGUAUUGUUUAGCUUUUUCCUGACUAGUCCAUAAUCAAGCAACAGUUGGGUUGAUGAUUUGUAGAUAUCUGAUACUUAAUCUUGAUAUGCAUCAUAUAAAUGAGCUUGCAAAAUCUUGAUGCAGAAAUUAACCUUAAUGGUUCAAUGUGCUCUUUCUUUAUCAGAAACUGAACAAAUAUAUCAUUCAAAGGGAUUGCAGUUGUGACAAAUAAAAAAAUAUGAUAUACAAUAUGCUGAAAGACAAAAAUGUCAAUUACAUCUUUUAAAUCCUCCCUACUCAUGAGAUGAUGUCCUUGGAAAGAAUAAACAGGUUCUGCAAUCAUAGAUGCAUGAUCCUACAAAAAGGGGAAGGAAGAGCAUCACGAAGCCCUUCCUAUCUGCUGAAUGACCAAAAGGAUUGCCAAAGAUUAGAGAGAAAAACCAUUUGCAUUUGAUCCACGAAUCCAUUCCGAGCCCAAAGCUCUUUCGUAACUGAAGCCCAACCACCCAACUAAUAUUGAGAAAGCCUAAAUUAUCCUGGGCAGUUGAUUUUUUUUUUCUUUUUUCUGGUGGGGGAGGGAUGGGAAGGGGGGAAAUCCCUGUUGCAAAGGAAGUAGCCAUUGACUUAAAUAGUUCUUGACUGCUGGAUUCUUUUAGGGGGAAACCGGAUGUGAGAAGACUUGAUACUUAAAACCUUUGUUGUGUGCUUAUAUCUCUUUCUGAUUCUUGAUAAUUAAUGAUACUUUUUACUUCUUGUUGCAAAAACAUCAUAGACUGCAUAAAUNNNNNNNNNNNNNNNNNNNNNNNNNNNNNNNNNNNNNNNNNNNNNNNNNNNNNNNNNNNNNNNNNNNNNNNNNNNNNNNNNNNNNNNNNNNNNNNNNNNNNNNNNNNNNNNNNNNNNNNNNNNNNNNNNNNNNNNNNNNNNNNNNNNNNNNNNNNNNNNNNNNNNNNNNNNNNNNNNNNNNNNCAAAAAAAGUUAUCUCUUCACUUUCAUUUGGAAGAUUAUGAUGAAUGCUUGGUUUUUACAAGUUCUACAGUUUCCAGGGAUUCUUUUGGUGUUUGCCAUAAGCAUGUAUUAACUUUCACUAUAGUAGACAAUCAACCUUGUGACAUGUUCUAGCACUGAUAAUCUGUUAUGUUUGAAAUAUUGCAUGAAGUUAUGCAUUUCCUUGACUCAUCAUGUGGAAGUAACACAUUUUCCUUUAUAAUCACAUUGUAUCAUCAUUAACACAUUAGUUCUUUUGUGACUUUUCAUUCAAUACUUUUUACAUUAUUGAAAACUAAGAAGCACCAGUAUUUAGGCACUCCUAUGUGCAACCAAACACCAUAUGCUUUUUGUGGAUCAAUAGGUCAACUGUUUUGAUAUAUAUAUAUAUAUAUAUAUAUAUAUAUUAUUCUCAUGCAUCAACUUUUUUCUCAUGUAGUCUUUCGUUGUUCUCAUUUUUCUGUAUCCGGGUUAAUGUUCAACUUCCUAGUUCUCUUUUGCAAUUCUAAGAGCUUUUACCUGUUGGAAUCUCAGCAUUCUGCUAGAGGCUAUUUCGGGUUAAAACGUUUCCUAUCAGUAUUGAUGUUUGCGGUGAUGACAUCAAACUGUGCAAGGGGAGACAUUUUGGUUGAUGGGAUGAUUUAACUGCUUUAUGUCUUUUCUACAUCUCUUCUAGAGUUCCAUGCUUUUCUUCUGGAACGAAAAGUUCCUUAUGUAUUUUGUGCCUGAUCCACUUUUGAGUUAUCUCUUACAAUCACAAAAAAGCUGAGAAGGAAACAAAUAAGUAUUUGUUUUAUCUGACGCAUGAAGAUAGCUUAUGAUUGAUUAUUACCUCUAUUCCUCGUCUUCUCUCCCAUUCUCUCAGUAUUCUUUACUUCUCACUAUCCAUUAUCAUUGAGAUGUUUCCUUCUCCUGAAUUCAGCUAGAUUGGGAUUCAUAAAAAUAAGGGAAUUUUCAACUUCUUCAGAACAUCUAUUCCCCAUCUACUUAAUAGUAAGCUAUAAUGAGCCUUUCUUAGACUUUCAACGAAAUCAGACUUUUAUGUGACUUCCAGUCAUCUUUUAGGGUCUAUUCCAAAUUAUAUUAUAUUUUCUGUAUUAUAUUCUCUGCUUGCAGGAGUUCCUUAUGGCUGAAUAUGANNNNNNNNNNNNNNNNNNNNNNNNNNNNNNNNNNNNNNNNNNNNNNNNNNNNNNNNNNNNNNNNNNNNNNNNNNNNNNNNNNNNNNNNNNNNNNNNNNNNNNNNNNNNNNNNNNNNNNNNNNNNNNNNNNNNNNNNNNNNNNNNNNNNNNNNNNNNNNNNNNNNNNNNNNNNNNNNNNNNNNNNNNNNNNNNNNNNNNNNNNNNNNNNNNNNNNNNNNNNNNNNNNNNNNNNNNNNNNNNNNNNNNNNNNNNNNNNNNNNNNNNNNNNNNNNNNNNNNNNNNNNNNNNNNNNNNNNNNNNNNNNNNNNNNNNNNNNNNNNNNNNNNNNNNNNNNNNNNNNNNNNNNNNNNNNNNNNNNNNNNNNNNNNNNNNNNNNNNNNNNNNNNNNNNNNNNNNNNNNNNNNNNNNNNNNNNNNNNNNNNNNNNNNNNNNNNNNNNNNNNNNNNNNNNNNNNNNNNNNNNNNNNNNNNNNNNNNNNNNNNNNNNNNNNNNNNNNNNNNNNNNNNNNNNNNNNNNNNNNNNNNNNNNNNNNNNNNNNNNNNNNNNNNNNNNNNNNNNNNNNNNNNNNNNNNNNNNNNNNNNNNNNNNNNNNNNNNNNNNNNNNNNNNNNNNNNNNNNNNNNNNNNNNNNNNNNNNNNNNNNNNNNNNNNNNNNNNNNNNNNNNNNNNNNNNNNNNNNNNNNNNNNNNNNNNNNNNNNNNNNNNNNNNNNNNNNNNNNNNNNNNNNNNNNNNNNNNNNNNNNNNNNNNNNNNNNNNNNNNNNNNNNNNNNNNNNNNNNNNNNNNNNNNNNNNNNNNNNNNNNNNNNNNNNNNNNNNNNNNNNNNNNNNNNNNNNNNNNNNNNNNNNNNNNNNNNNNNNNNNNNNNNNNNNNNNNNNNNNNNNNNNNNNNNNNNNNNNNNNNNNNNNNNNNNNNNNNNNNNNNNNNNNNNNNNNNNNNNNNNNNNNNNNNNNNNNNNNNNNNNNNNNNNNNNNNNNNNNNNNNNNNNNNNNNNNNNNNNNNNNNNNNNNNNNNNNNNNNNNNNNNNNNNNNNNNNNNNNNNNNNNNNNNNNNNNNNNNNNNNNNNNNNNNNNNNNNNNNNNNNNNNNNNNNNNNNNNNNNNNNNNNNNNNNNNNNNNNNNNNNNNNNNNNNNNNNNNNNNNNNNNNNNNNNNNNNNNNNNNNNNNNNNNNNNNNNNNNNNNNNNNNNNNNNNNNNNNNNNNNNNNNNNNNNNNNNNNNNNNNNNNCAACUCACAGCUUGGAUAAUUAAUCAUAGUCUCUGAGUGUAUAUUUUUAUUUAAAGCAAAAGAAAUAAUUUAUUCCAGUGAUGAAAUGAAUUUGUGCCAAAUGAGAUAUCCACCAUUUCUGCUAUGAACUCUCAAGUUGUGUGGAAGUUUUGUUUUCUUGUUGUGAUCAUGUUUGAUGUUUGUUUCAUGUUCUCUUCUCAUCAUUGGUUUGCCAGUUACGCUUCCCUUCCAUCUUCCUUCUAAUGCAGCGUAGUGGAUUAGGGUUUAGAGAGAAAUUAGAGAAGAAAAGGAUAACUUCAUCCACAAUUACAAGGUUAGCAUCACAGGGUUGUUAGGCACUCAAUUCAGUAAGAGGAAAUUAGUAUUUUGUUCAUAAGCAGCCUGUUUAAUAAUGAUGAAGCACCUUUCUCUUUACAGGUUGUUAACAUAGCCUAAUAUGAUUUGGAGUUCUUAAACAAGAAAACAAGAAUAAAUAAAAUUUCGAACUAAAUAAGACCUAAAACCUUAACAAAAUAUAAAACAUGCCAAGAUAUAAUAGUCUUAUUUUAGUAAAGCUGGGCUAGAUGGUCCAGCAUCACCUUUUCUAUCUCUCUCUCAAAAUCAGAGAAAGAGAAAAAAGUCAGAAAAAAAUAGAAAAUACUUGUUUGAGAUUUGUUUUAAUGUUUGUCCAUGUGUCAUAUAUGUGAAUGUUAGUGCUGUUGGUUUAAUUAAAAAAGAUCUGAGUGUUGAAACUUGAUGGAGCUAUGGGACAGUAGGAGAAAUGUUGAGUAUUUCUGCUUGGCUGAAGCUUUUAUUUGUUUAGUUUUCCAUUUAUAUGGUUCCUAAUCUUACACUGCCUUAAACCUUUCCUGAUGUAAAUAUUACAUUUUUUCUCUUUGAAACAGUUCUGUGCCCAGGAAUCAGUUCCUCAUGCUAAACUGGAGCAUCCUGCAGCGUACAGUGUGUACAGAAUUUGCACUUGCAAACAAUGUGGAAAGGAGGCAGAUGGGAAGGAUUGUCUAGUAUGUGAUUCUUGUGAAGAAAUGUACCAUGUGUCCUGCAUUGAGCCUGCUGUCAAGGAGAUUCCCCCAAGAAGCUGGUAUUGUGCAAAAUGCACAGCCAGUGGAAUUGGAUCACCUCAUGAGAACUGUGUAGUAUGUGAGAAGGUUAAUGCCCCUAGGACCUUAAUUAGUCAUGGUGUUAAUGAUAUUAGUCCAACAAAUGGUGAGCCAUUUUAUGAGAUUGAAGAGAAUUCAAAUGGUAGUAUGGAGAAUGGGCUUCAAAUGUCAGAAGAGAGCAAAAACAACUCUAUGUGCAAGGUUUGUGGCGGGGAGGUAGAGGAUGGUGAAAAGUUCAGGAUGUGUGGUCAUUCCUUCUGUGUUAGCAAAUAUUAUCAUACAAGGUGCCUGACAACUAAGCAGUUAAAAUCAUAUGCUGCCUGUUGGUACUGCCCUUCUUGUCUCUGUAGAAUUUGCCUCAAUGACAAAGAUGAUGAUAAGAUUGUUCUAUGUGAUGGUUGUGAUGAUGCAUACCAUAUUUACUGCAUGAAACCACCUCGCACUUCAAUUCCAAGGGGCAAGUGGUUUUGCAGAAAAUGUGAUGGUGGUAUACAGAGAAUACGCAAAGCAAAAAGAGCAUUCGAAAAAUUUGAAAAUAAACAGAAAGAGAGGGGUGGAGACAGUGAAAAGGAAAAUGAAGUAUCUGAAAAGCAACAGUGCGAGAAUGAGAAAGAAGAAUCGGACAAGGGAAGAGGAGGAAUGGACAUGCUCUUGUCUGCGGCCAAUACUCUAAACUAUGAAGAGAAGAUGGCUGCCAUUCAGAUAAAGAAUUAGAAGGAAGUUUGAUAUUGAAGAAUGACUUGUCUAGUAUGUUUACUUGCUGAUUCCCAAAAAUUUAUUUCCGGUGCAAUUUUUUGGGGGACAAAUAUUUUGGUAGGUUGUAAAGCACUAGAUCUACUGACUUUUGGAUAGAUAACUCAGUGACAACAUGAUUCCAAAGGCUGUAUAUCGCUGGCUAGCAUCCCAUGAAUCAGGAUCAGGGGGGAAAAGCAUUAGAUUCAUUUUGUGCAAAUGACCCUUUAAACAUUUUGGAGGAUAUUUUGCCCACUUUGUACUAAGCAGUAUAUACUUUUGAAGAGGAGUCCUCAAAAAACAGUGUUUCUCACUCUUGUUAAGUGUUGUAAAAUGAAGAAAUUGUGACUAAAGCAAACUGAAUUAGUAAUGAAGUGGAAGGAUUAUUCUCUGUCUCCAGCUUACUGAAUUAGUAAAUUUGAUUUUAGGUGGAAGCAAAAUUCAAAAAUUUGAAAAUGCUCAUUUUAGGUGAAAGCCCCUGGACUGGUUGGAGAGGAGCGAAAAGAAUGAUUCUAGGGACACAUCAGGUAGCUAAGGGUUUAGGGCCAUUUUAAGGGCCCUCUAAGGCCCAUUUUAAUGCUCACAUAAGGCCCAUAUCAGGCCUAUUUUAAGGCCUACAAGACCCAUUUUAAGGCCCCUAUAGGGUCAAAUGUCAUUAAAAGGUGAGCCCAAAACCAAACAAGACAACUGAAGACGGCAAAUGUACCGUUAAGAAAUGACCAUCUUAAGGCCCAUAUGAGCCCAUACAAGACUCAUUCAAAGGCCCACAUGAGGCCCAUUUUAAGGCCCACUUAAGACCAUCACAGGACAAUUUUAAGGCCCCUCUACGGCCCAUUUUAAGGCUCGUAUAAGGCCCAUUUUAAGGCCUAUGAGGCCCGUUUUUAUUUUGUUUUCGAUUAUUUUGAGAAAUAAAGUUUAGUUGGAAAUUUAAUUGCAACUUUGAUUUGUAUUUUGUUUUGAUUUGGACUUGGUUCGCUGAAGAAACAAAAUUUAAACUUGAAACUUGAAACAUUGGGUCUAGAAGAACAAAUUAAGGAGUUGAAUCUAAAAGACUUUUGAGUAAGUUUGAAUUAAUAAUAGAGGGUGUAUAUACAUGUAUGCGCACACCCUAAUAUUAUUCUGAAAAUAUUGAUAAAAUAUCUAUACAUUACAUGUUUUGAUAGAUAUAUAAAAUAUAUUUAAUAAAGUAUUGGCCUUAGUACUUACUUAUUAUGGUAUUCCAUGAGGAAUAUCAGACGCGAAUGGAAGUGGUGGAUGCAUUGAACUAACCAUUAAAAAGUUUAAGUCAUAAUGUGAUCGUCGCAAUUGACACGACAAUGUGCAUCUACCAGCUGCAUCAUGCAAUUUUUUUUUUACCAACCUCAUCAUGUAACGCAUGCAAACAAGUUUAUACAAUGCGUAUUGGCUGGAACUAUGAUUUUAUCCUUGUUUUUAAGUAAGAAUUAGGGGAGGAAAAAAAAAAAAAACUCACACUAAAAUUAUUACAAAUGAAAUGAAAGAAGAACUUCGAGCAUUAAGUAAAACACAUACUUGAGAUUCUCUAUAUUGUUGGCUGUAAAUGGGUACGUAAUAUAAAUAACAUAAUUGACUUUUGUUUCUCGUGAUGAUCGUAUAUCUUUUUGAUGCACUAAUCAUGAUAUUAUUUUCUCGUGCUGGUUUCACAACGAAAACCAUCCUUACUUAUGGUGAAACUCACGUACAAAGGUGUAGUCUUCUUGAUGAUCAUAUAUUAUAUACUGAUUUAAUAUUUGAAUUUCACGUUAAAUAAAAAUAUAUGAUUAUUAAACUCUGUAUAGUGGUUCAAGUCAUAUAUUACUAUUAAUUUAAGUUUAAAUAUUUUAAAAGAUAAUAGUUUGAUUUUAAAAUUUUUUUAGAUUAAUAUUGUUUUAACUUGAAACGUGUAAAUAAUAUCAAAAUAUAUAUUAACUUAAAUUAUGAGUUUCAUAUAAGGGGCCGAGUCUCAUAUUACUAACACUUGAGAUUAAGUUUUUGAGGGUUAGAAUUUCUCCCAAAAGUUAUUUGAUUAGUAGUAAUUGAGCUCAAGAUAUUACAGUCGAAUUCAACAUGACAUUAUUUAUGAUGUUUACUUAGUUAAUCAAUUUAUAGUUGCAUAUAUAUAUAUAUAUAUAUUUGCUUAUGUUAGUAUUUAAAUGUAAUUUGGAUUUUACUUUAUGUCAAAACACUUUGUUUCGUUAACUAAUUUUUUAUCCAUUUCUUAUUGAUUCUUUUUUUGGAUACAUUGAUGUUAAUUGGCCAUUUUUUUUUGAAAGGUAAAAAUUUAUUGAAACAAUAUAACUGUAUAGAUAGAUAGAUGUACACAAAGGAUAACCUUAUUAAACUAAAACAUAAUAAGUGAAUACAACAUUAACAUAAAACAUAGCUAAUAUCAACACAACAACUUUGGGUCGGUAGGACUUUAGACUUUAUGAGAUAUUUGAAUCGUGAAUUGUGAUUGUUGUAUGUAGACUUGAUAAGAACGUUGAGAGUUUGAGUAAUACAGAUUGUGAUAUCCAAAUCUCAUAUUAAAAAAGUAUAUGAUUAUUGGACGUCACAUAAGAGGUGAAGUAUAUAUUGCCAAUGACUUGUGAUUGAUCUUUUUAGGGGCCAGUAUUUGGAUUCAAAAAUUUGUUGGGUUUAUAGUGUUUGGUUACGUAACAUUAUAAUUGAACUAAACUUGAUACUAUUUAUAUAGUUCACUCAGUUAAUCAAUUUAUGAUUUCUUUUAUUUUCUAUUACUAUUUAACCAUCUUCUUUGGAUUCUUCUUUAUGCCAAGGCACUCUUUUUCAUGAACUAUUUUUUUUAUCUGCUCUUAUUAAUAUUGUUUGAAUUGAUGCUAAUUGAACAUUUUUCUAAGUGACAAUUUAUUGAACAAUGACCAUGAAAGACAAAUAUACAUGAACAAUAACUGUGCAUAACUAAAGUAUAAUAAGCAAAUACAACAUUAUCAUAAUAAGGAUUGUGUAUCAACUUGAUAACUUUAAGUUGAUACAAUUUUAAAUUUUAUUCGACGUUUAAAUUUUAAUUUGUGAUUAUUUUAUAUUGAUUUGAUUGGGGAAUAUCGAAAAUUUGGCUGAUGCAGUUAUAAUAUCCAACAAAUCUUAUAUAUUAGAAAAAUGUGACUUUUGAGCUCCAUAUAAGGACUUAAAUCGUACAUUAUUAAUAAUAUGAGAUUAACUUUUGGUUGUCGGUGAUUGUGGGCUAAAAAAUUAUCGGAUUAGUAAUGUUUAAGUUUAAUAGAUCACGUUUAAACUCAAUAGGAUAUUAUUCAUAGUUUAUUUAGUUAAUCAAUUUAUUACUUUUUGCUUGUGUUACUAUUUAACCCUCAUUUGAAUUGUUCUUUUUGUGAAGACACUCUUUUUCAUAUACUAUUUUUUUUUUUUACUUGAUUUGAAUACUUUGAUACUAAUAGAGCACUUUUUUAAAUGUAAAAAUUUAUUGCAAUAAUAGCAUCCCCUAAGAUUAAUUUAAAUGAACGACAACCGCAUCCAACUAAAACAAAAUCAAUAAAUAUAAUAUUAGUAUAACACAAGCAUGUAUCAACUUGGUACCUUCGGAUUAUUGGGAUCUUGGACUUAGUGGGAUACUUAGAUUGCGAUUUGUUAUUUUUAGAUGUAAAUAUGAUGAAAAUAUAAAAAAUCUAAUUGAUGCAACUUAAGAUAUUUAAAUCUCAUAUAAUAAAAAUACGUUAUUAUGAUUACCCAUGAUUUAGAUUUGAAAAAUUAUUAGAUUAGUGGUAUUUAGACACGAAACGUGACAACUGAACUUAAUUUGAUAUUACAGUCUUACUCAUGGUAUUAAUUUUGUUUAUUACUUUUUAUCACCUAAAAGUUAAAUAUAAAACUAUUGCUUUUUCUGACGUUUAUUUCAUUAGUGUUAUAUAUAUAUAUAUAUAUAUAUAUAUAUAUAUAUUAAGUUUACUUUUAACUAGUAUAUAAAUUGUUAGUACAAAUAAAUUUUUUUGUUUUUAAAUCAAAUAAAUAGUAGCAGAAAUAAUUAUUCAGAUAUAAUUUCAGUAAAAACUCAAUUAAACAUAAUUUUCUUUUUAAAAUAAUUCAACUUAAUGUUAACAUAUAAAAUCUCAACUGUGAGUUUAAAUAUUUUUUGCUGUAUCCACAUUUUUAGAUAAUACUGGUAAAUGUAUUACAGUAUAUAUACAUAAAAAUGUGUAUUUAUAGUAGUAAAGUGGAAAUAACAUUGGAAGUGAUGAUGAAAAUUUGGUCGCAAUUUGAAAAGGAAAAUUGUGUUUAGCAUUUCUUAAAAGUAUUUCUUUUUGUAGUUAAAUAUUACAUACGCAUGAAUGUAUAUUAUUAUGUAUAAGCAUAUAUAUAUAUAUAUAUGUGUGUGUGUGUGUGUGGAAAUAAAAACUACAGUGACGAUCUUAUUAUCUAUGAAUUGUUUGACUGUGUAGAAGAAAAGAAAUCUCUUGGUUAAUGUGAUUAAUCUCCAUAUUUUGCAAAUUUAGCGUCGCAUUUGUUACCUUUCAACAUUAAUUUGAUAAACAGAAGAAGAAGUCGUUCUGAAUCUUGAGACGGAUGCUUAUAGAAAUCUAUAUAUAUAUAUAUAUGUGUGUGUGUGUGUGUGUAUAUGUACGUAUAUACAUAUAUUGUUGUGCAGUCCAUUUGUCAACUAAUUCUGGUAAAUAUUAGUAUGAUUACAAUAAUUAAUAUGUUACUAAUUCUCGUUAAACGUAGAAAAUUAUGUAACAACCAAGUUUUGUCGUUUAAAUAUUCAUAAUAUCUUAAAAAUACGACGUAAGAGGUUCUGCUACCGCGAAGUUCAAAGUAUAUAAGUGAUAUGAAUGUAACUAAAAACUCCUGGUUAUAAACUUUGGUGUUCAGUCAUGGAGCUAAUGAUCACCCCAACCCCUGCAAACUCUUCCCCUCUCACACCCCUUGGCUUCUUGGAGAGAGCUGCUUGCGUUUAUGGUGACUGUCCCUCCGUCGUAUACGACACCGUUUCGUACACGUGGUCACAGACUAACCAUCGAUGCCUCCGGCUGGCAUCUUCCAUUUCAUCCCUCGGCAUCGGGAGGGGCCACGUGGUGUCCGUCCUCGCCCCAAAUAUCCCCUCCAUGUACGAGCUCCAAUUUGCUGUCCCCAUGUCCGGAACCGUCCUCAACAACCUAAACCUUCGCCUGGACGCUCAUGCUCUCUCCGUGCUCCUGCGCCACAGCGAAUCAAGGCUCGUCUUCGUUGACCACGACUCUCAACCUCUCUUAUUAGAAGCCGUAUCUUUGUUCCCGCGAAACACCAAGCCUCCGCUUCUCGUCCUCAUCGACGACGGUGCUGCCUCUGCGGGAACACCAACGUCAGCCGUUGAUUUUCUUGACACCUACGAGGGAGUGAUGGAGGGUGGUGAUCCGAAGUUCAAGUGGGUCCGGCCUAAUAGCGAGUGGGAUCCAAUGGUUUUGAACUACACGUCGGGCACAACUUCGUCACCUAAAGGGGUGAUUCAUAGUCACCGGGGAAUUUUUAUUAUAACCGUUGACUCACUCGUUGACUGGUCAAUGCCUAAUCGACCAGUUUACUUGUGGACCCUACCGAUGUUCCACGCCAACGGAUGGAGCUUCCCGUGGGGCAUGGCGGCGAUUGGUGGAACCAACGUUUGCAUGCGUAGAGUCGACGCGCCGGCGAUGUACCGUUUGAUUGAGCGACACAGGGUGACCCACAUGUGCGGUGCGCCUGUGGUGCUCAACAUGCUAUCAAACUCCCAAAACACGCCGCAGAAACCCCUUGACCACCCUGUGCACAUCUACACAGCCGGAGCGCCACCUCCUGCCCCGAUCCUAUCACGAGUCGAGUCGCUGGGUUUCGUGGUGAGUCAUGGAUACGGGAUGACCGAGACGGCCGGUCCCGCCGUGUCUUGCGCCUGGAAACCCAAAUGGGACAAGUUGCCGUUAUCUGAGAGAGCAAGGUUAAAGGCAAGACAAGGAGUGAGGAAGCUAGGAUUCGGUGAGGUCGACGUGAUAGAUCCCAAAAGUGGAGAGAGCGUGAAGCGAGACGGGUUAAUGAUGGGCGAGGUGGUUUUGCGAGGGGCGUACGUGAUGCUAGGAUACCUAAAGAAUCCAGAAGGAAGUGCCGCGUGCAUGAGAGAAGACGGGUGGUUAUAUACCGGGGACGCGGCGGUGGUGCACCCAGAUGGGUACCUGGAGGUGAGAGAUCGGUUCAAGGACGUGAUAAUAAGUGGGGGAGAGAACAUAAGCAGCACGGAGGUGGAGUCAGUGUUGUACUCGAACCCGGUGGUGAAGGAAGUGGCGGUUGUGGCGCAGCCGAACAAGUUCUGGGGGGAGAUUCCGUGUGCGUUCGUGAGUUUGAAGAGCGGGUUGGCUCGGAAUCCGACGGAGAAGGAGAUAAGGGAGUUUUGCAAGGGAAGGCUGCCGAGAUACAUGGUGCCAAGAAGGGUGGUGUUUCAAGAAGAGUUGCCCAAGACUUCCACCGGCAAGAUUCAGAAGUUUGUGCUCAGGGAAAUCGCCAAAUCUUUCAGUUAAUUACUUCCAUGUCUUAGCGUCCAUUUCUUUUAAUAUUAUAUAUAUAUACAUAUAUAAAGAACUAUAUAUACGUAGUGUCCACUUCUUUUUAAUUCUCAUACGCACUGCUGAAUCAGCCGCAAUAAAGUCAGGAUUGUUUUUCCGGCCGGCCAUAACUAUUAGCAUUCAUCCAACAGUAGUCAUACAAGCUACAAGGUUGACGCGAUGUACUCGUUAAAUAAAUAAUUAGAUACAUUUACCAGUAAGCUGGCAUAGUAAUCAGUAAUUAGAUACUUGUUAAUCUAUUACUAAAUACAUUAAUAUGAAUUUCUUUUUUUUCUUUUAAAGAAGAGAUAAAUAUCAUGAACUUGGGCAUUAAUAAUACAAUAUAAUAUGUUACCAAAGCUUAUGUUAUUAAUAAAAUUUUAUAAAUUAUUCUACAGUUUAUGUUGUUAUUAUUUGUUAAACUUUGAUGUUAAAUUUAAUAAUUCAAAAUUACCAAAGUACUUCUAAUUUAAUAACAAAAUUACUAUACUAGUCUCAACAGUAUAAAUAAACAAUAUAAUAUAUUAAAAAAAAUUAUAUUAUUAAAAUUUAUCUAAUAAAUUUUAAAUUUUUUUUAAAAAAAUAUAUUUGAAAUUUGUUUGGAAAAUUUAUUUUAACUUUUUUUUUUUUUUUUUUUCUCUCCAUGUUUUAAAACAUCAUUCAUUGAAACAUUAUUGUAACCUUUUUCCAGAUGUAAAAACCUGUAAACACAGCUUAGUGGAAAGUGGAACCAGACGGUGCAUAAGCAAAACUUAUAACUUCGUGUGUGUGUAUAUAUAUAUAUAUAUUACACCCAAACACACACACACACACACACAUACUUGUAUGUAUAUAUAUAGGACUCAGAUACAAUCCCAGUCCAGAUGAAGUAAAAUCACGAGGGAUGCUCCGCAUAAAUCACUAACUCAGCAGAGGCAAUUCAGCUGCAAGUACAACUCUCCCUCCCCUCCAGUUUGUCUUCCCCUCUGCCAACUUACGCUUUUAUCUGGGCUGCCAGUUGCAAAUGAUCCCAUGAAUCGAGUUCUCCAUUCUCCUUGUUUGCCUUCCUACUGCAUCAAGACUUCUCUAUCAUCAUUCAAAGGACAAACAUCAACUGUAUUCAUUGGCGAAUUAUCUAAAUCUUUUCCACUCAACUUACCAGAUAAGACUCAGAGAAAAGAUAUAUACCAUACAAAAAUAAAGGAAGUAUUCUUCUUCCUUUUUGUUUCUCAAGCACGUUCAGGACCCCCCCCCAGUCUUAUUAUCCCCUACAGCAUAUCGGUUUCUAUCAUUGCUCAGUCCUGAUGCAUGCAGCUGCUUUCUCCUCUUCACAAGAUGCAAUGCAGUUUGUCUGUCAUCUUUAGCCUCCUCGGAAUCAGGCUGCAUGUGAUAGCUACGAUUAUGAAAACCUCAAUCAUACAAUUCUUAUUGUGUAAAACAGAAAUAUAACUUUUAAUGGGGGAAACAAAACCAUUAAGCCCUUCAAGUACAACUUCAAUAGCUGUAAUUUCAUAAAUCGUUCAUGUUCCAAAAGGUUAGAAAUAAAGUAAUAACAAUAUGGAACACCUAUUACAUUCUGCUGCUUCUAUUUGUCACAACAUUCCAAAGUUGAUGUUUCCAUAUACAUGCAUUUUCUUUUUGCCUGAUAAACACUGUGCUCAAGUGUAAACAAGAAGACUAAUUCAGCCAGGUUUCUCUAUGUUGCAAACUAAUUUUUCACUUAAUCAUGAAUGUGAAGAUAGCCAGAGACUCGAGAUCCAAGUUUUAAAAGCUCAGACAGAGAACAAUACCAGAAAUGAAGAGCAUAGCUUUUGUAAUCACUAAAACCAAACGAAAUUCCAUUAGAUUAUGGCUCUGUUUGGUAAAUGAAAAUAUUGUCUAGUUUUUAUUUCCUAAAUUAAUAUUUAGUUUAUUCAGAGGGCCAUAUAAAUUAGAUAACAAAAAAGAAAAUGAUAGUGAUGAUAAUGAAAGUGAAGAAGUAAGGAAAUUUCAAAAUGUUGUUUCUAGUAUUUUUUAGAAAAUUAUCUUAUUCGUGCUUUUAUUAUUCCCGAAGUACGCAACUGUUACACAUUUUGUGAAUAAACCUAUGCAUAAAUACAUGCGAAUUUAGUAAACAAUGCAUAAAAACUAGAAAAGAUUUUCAUGUACCAAAUGGACCAUAUUUCUUAAAAGUUACCUUGAUAGCUAAUGCCCUGUCAAAACUUUCUAUAGCACUAUCAGGCUCCCCAAAGUUUAACUGUGCCCUCCCAAGGGUGAUCCAUGCCUGGAAGAUCCACUUUAGUAAGAAACAAAAAAGACAACAUAAAAUAACAUGAAUGCACCUUCUAUAACUUUAAUAUAAUUGCAAGCUAGGACAGCAGCAACUGCAAUUACUACUGCACUGGUAACAGCAGUGAGUCCAGGCCAUUUAGGAUCUCACCUUGUAUGCAACAACUACUCUACCAAUUAACUAGUGAUGAAGAAUAGAACGAACAUCUACUUUUCACUUUGAAGAUUUACCCAAAAUAAGACACGCAUAUUAUGAUUUAUGCAUGCACAUAAAGGGACAGGCAGGCUCUUCAUACAAUCACAAAGGCUAAGUAGAACAUGAAAGAGACCUUGACUGAGAUAUUAACAUAUAAAGCACUAUAAAUAUUUGCUGACAUGCCAACAAGCCAAUGGCGAAUCUAAAGUUAAUGAUUCAAGGAACUGUCAGGCAGGUUUUAACAGCUAGUUCCUGUCCUGAACUUCAGUAAAAUAUGUCCAGCUGCAGUUUCAUAGCUUACUCCCAAACUUCAGUUAAUAUGCACGAUAUAAGAUGUCUGCAGAAUUUGGAAAUUAGCACACAACAUUGCCGAGUUGUACACAGUCCAAAAUCAGUUCAGUUAUAUGUUUAUAUCAAUAGAGGAAGUUCAGCAGUCGGAGCAAUCACCCCAACCUUAAACAUGAUAUGAAACAUUCAGUUAGUAUUUAACAUGUAACAUUGAAAAACAUAACAAAAUAUUCUUCUAAUUAUUCUUCCAUUUUGAUAAUCUUGAUGAAACAAGAGCAUCUCCAGAUGAAGAUGCCAAAUUUUAUGUAUAAAAUGGUAAAGGGUUAAGUACCUCAGCCCAUGAAGGUUCCAACUCAGUAGCUCCUGUAAAGUAUAGUGUACUCUUAAAAUCAAAUUGUAGAAAACAACCAGUGAAGGAAUCAUGAAACCCCAAAAGAUAGUCUGCGGCUGAAAAUAAACUGUUCCAAGGGCAUGGACAUGCAGAUGCAAUGCGAUCAAAGGAAGGAGACAACAUGAAUGAAAGACUUAGAAACACAUCUGGCAAUUUCAUGCAGAAAUAAAACAAAAAGAGAAAAUAAAAACAGAACCUACGAGUGGCUGCCUUGAGUGCUUUCCAUGCAUCUCCAAUUUCCAGUAAAACUUGGGCCUUUUGUUCUUGCAGUUUUGCAUUUUCCGGUAUCAAAUUCAGAGCAGCCUCCCAUUUCCCAAGUGCUUCUGGGUAUUUUCCUUCCUUCCAAAGAAAAACAGAUAAUUUAAAUAUAAUUGGAAAGAGAUGCACAAAAUUACCAAGCCGAGCUAAUUACAAGAUAACUAAAGUAGUGAUAGGCACAUAACAAUCAUCCAUUCCACCAUGUCUCAAACCUAUUAAUACCCGAUUAACAAUUUAGCAAAAUUUCCGAAUUUUACGAUGGAACUCUGCCCAAAACCCAUGAAAAUAAUUAUUAGAAUAAACUGGGGAGAAAGAAAGAUUUACUGGGGAGGUAGGGAAUAUACCUCAGCAAACUUGUUUCCUUGGAGUUGAAACGACUCGGCUAGCUGUUUAGAGCGAGAAUCAAAGUGAGCAGGAAGAUGAUGAUCCCCCGUUUUAAGUUCUGAAUCAGAUUGGUGCUGUUGGUUGUUAUCCGGGCUUUCUUGGUCAAAAGGGAGACUUGGGUAGUGGGAUAUAGCACCCAAUGACCGCUUCUUCGUCUUCUUGGUCCAUGUCACCUUCAUCUCCUCUAUCACUGGAUUUUCCAGAUAAACGCCUGUCUUUCUAUUCCUCUGCCCUGUCUCGGUUAAGAUCCAGAAGAUUCGACGGAGGGUAGAGCAGAACACCCGAUACUCAACGGUGCCGUAUGCCGUUCACAAAACAACCUUUGUCGUUCGUCAAGGGGCAAACAGACAAACGGUGCCGUUUUGUGACUUGUAGGAUAAGCCCGGAUGUGUAAAUGGGCUUGGGCUCAGUCUCUUAAAUGGGCCUUAAAAACACGAAAGAGAAUUAAGGAGAAAGUGACACGUGUACAUCUGUCUCUUAAAUGACUUGGUCAACAAGUCAUCUUAAAGGAUAAAAUUUUAAUUAUAACUUUUUCCAAGUUGGCAUUUCUGGCAAAGAGGCGAUUACGUGGCAUAAACCCUCUUCAUCACAAGUCUAUUUAUUAAGGGGCAAAACGCAGUGCAGAGUACAGAGGUGGUAAAGAAGAAGAAGAAGAUGAAGACGAGUGAAGAAAAAGAUUUUGCAGAGGAGAAGAGGCUUUUAAAAAUGGAGGCUGAGGACAGUGGGGGAAGAAAGUGGUUGAAGCCAAAACCAGCAAGUGUGAUGCCGAAACCAAGGAGGUCAGUAAAAACGAUGGCGUUUAAUCUCUUCCUCCAAUCCAUAGCAUCUUCUUCUUGCUGCUGCUCCCACUCAAAUAACCCUGGUUCUCCUUAUUGAUACUUUCUGCCAUUACUGAAAUUUUCAGUUCUCAGAAUUUUGUUUCAUUUCCUUCUUUUGUUACCACUACGUGUUUAUGUAUCUUUCUUAAACAUCAUUUUGGUUUCCUAUUUCGAUAUUAUACAUAUACAUAUAUUCAACUGGUACUGUAUGUAUCAAUACACAUUUUCCCAGGUACGUAGUUCCAUCUGGGUUCAUUCCCAAUCACCAUGGAAAACCGAGUUCAUUCCCCAAAUAUUAGAAAGAAAAAAAAUUAUUUCGUUAUAAAGAAUAAAAUAAUUCAAAUGGCAAUAAUUUAAUAUAAUGAUUCAAUUGCAAUAAACAAGUUCAAAUAUAAUGUGAAAAGUCCUAUUACCAAAAAGAUGUAAUAAUAUCAUUUUGUAUGGAAUUCUAAAUUUCAAAAUUAAAUUAGCUUUAUAUAUCACAAUAAACUAAAAUUAAUUAAAAUAAUAAUAAUUGAUGAUGAUGAAUGCCAACCUUGAAUGAGGUAAUUUCAUCAACUCUCACUAUAAUGAUUUAAACUACGUGUUUGUUUGAAUUAUUUGGACCGAGUCAAUGUUAUCAUUAGACAUAAUUCGAAAAAUAACAAAUAUAUAUACAAUUAUAAUGAAUAAAUACAAUAUUAGAUUAAGACAAACAUUAGUCUAAAAUUGAACGUAUCAUAUUAAAGCUAAAGAUUCAAUCGAUGAAAUUUUAGUCUACAUAUAUACAUUAGUUAUAUAUUUAAUACCUUAAUGUUUUAUUUGCAUAAUUUAUAUAAUGUACAUAUAUGUUAUUUUAAUUUUUAAUAUUAAAAUAUAUUAAUCGAUCUAAAUUAGAUCAAACUAAAUGUAGAUCAGACUAAAUAAAAAAAAAUUAGAUUCUAAAAUUUUUGGACCGAAGACUAGACUAAACAUUUAUGCGGUCUACUUCAAUUCGGUUUUUCAGUUCAAACCAGAUAAUGAUCGCUCGUAGUAAUAGAUUUAACUUUUAAAAUAUAUUUUAUUUUAUUUUUUGUGGGUCUAUUUUUAUAAUUAAAUAUAUUAAUUUAUAGGUUCAUAAACGGUGAACACGAGUUUAUUACUACAUCCAUUCUAGAAUCUUAAAAUAAUUAUAAUCAUAUCUAUAAAUAUAUGUAUUGGAUUAACAUUUGAUGAUUGUAAAUGAGAUAAUAUAAAGUUUGAGUCAUCAUAAAAGAUUAUGGUGAAAGCUUCAAACCGUUCCAAGUCUUAGGCCCCUGUUUGGGUAAGGAUAAUAAAAUCCUCUUCUUGGUUUUAUCUAUUCCAUACAUAUAUAUACAUAUAUAUAUAUAUAUAUAUAUGUAUGUAUGUCUUGUGAAUUUACUUAUAAAUUUAUUAUUUUUAUCUUAAAAUGAUGAAAAUUACAUCUUGUUUAAAAUUAAAAUAAUAUAUUAGUAUAAUUUAAAAUUAUUUUUUAUAAUUUCGUACAAAAAUUGAACUUUAAUUUUUUAAAACUAGUUAUAAUUAAGAAAUCAACGGUGGAAAUAAAAAGCAAAGUGAGUGAAAUGGCGGCUUCAAUAUAUAUCCGUUGUACAAACGGAUUCAUAAAUCCAUACCCGGCAAGCAAAUUCAAAAUAACCUGAAAAGCUAAAAGCACUCAAAGCAAAAGCAAAAGCCAAAGCAUUAGCUUUUCCUUUUCAAAUCUAACGACCAUCUUCUUCUGUACAUAUAUAUAUUGAUAUAAUAUAUAUAUAUAUAUAUAUAUGUGCGGGCAUAGAUUUUUGUGUUUCCCAAACCAAGAAGAAGCCAAAACAAGAUGGGUUGCUGCAUUAGCAAAUGCAAACCCAAGAGGGCUCUGGUAGAUGAACUCAACUUUGUACAAGAUAAGCUUGUCAUCUCCUCACAACCCAACAAAUUAACCCAUUUAUCAAACAAAGUAAACCCUUUAAUUUCCUUGCCAAGAAACAUCAUCAACAAUCCUAUUCCUAAUUUCUCAAACAACAAAAUCUCCCCUAUAAUUUCACCUUCUUCCCCUUCUAAUUCUUCUCUCUAUUCCUCGACUUCUGCUACUACUCCCAGCACCAGUACAAUCACCUCAUCAUCCUCCUCCUCCUCCCUUUCAACCACUGCGUCUUCACUCUUGAUCACCUCCAAGGUCGACAGAUCUUUCUCCAAUGAAUUCUUGAGAGCCUGUUACAGAGAUAACCCACAUAUCCUUCGUAUUAACUCUAUAAGGGAACACUCUCUUUCACUACCAACCACCAAGAUAUCUCACUCCCACACAUCGCCACCGUUCAAACAAUUCUUCUCUCGAACUCUAGCUGGGUCUGGCUCUGGCUCUGGCUCUGGCUCUACGCCGCACAAGAGGGUCCGUUCUAGUUCUCCCAAUAACACCACCCUAACCCGGCAAAAGAGCUCCCGAAACCACUAUCCCUACGGGCCUAGCAGAACUGGUUUGAGAUCACCUUCUCCUAGCAGGAGAUUUAGCAGUGAAAACGGCGUGGGAGCGUUGACCAAUCCCUUAAAGGAAAGCUGCUCUAAGACGCGUGUGGUUGGUCCGAAGCUAAACGCAACAAGCUCUGUUUCAAGACAGGAAAGUUUCGGGCCGGCGAGUCCAAAUAGGAAAGCGAGCACUGGAAACAGAGAGACUCGCGUACAUCGUGUUAGUUCUAAAAUCGAUGAAACAGCAGUUAUGGACGCCGUUUCAAGUCAAGAAAGUAACACCGACUGCAUUCUAAUAGAGGACAUCGACAACCCUCUUAUCUCGUUGGAUUGCUUCAUUUUUCUCUAGAAAUUUCUGUGUGUGAGUGCAUAUAUACAUAUAUACAUAUAUAUAUGUACAUACAUAUACACGAAUCUUGCAUCAUGUUCAAAUUUUGCUUUGUUUUUUUCCUCAUAUGAUAUUCAUUAUCUGCAUGCGGAAGGUUCAAAUUGCUUGAAUUUUUCUGCAUUUAUAUGUCACUGAGAUAUUGGAUGUAUAAUCUUUUAUCCAAUUUUCUUGCUGGUUAUAAUGUUCUUGAGUUUUAAGAAAAUGCAAUUGACAUGAUGAUGAUAUAGCGAAUAUUGUAUGUAUAUUGUUAUUAAUUAGUUCCUAAUUCUACUAUUAUAUAUAUAUUUGAAAACUUAAAAUGUUGUCAUGCAAUAGAUAUAUGGUUUAUUAAAUUUUGGUUCAAAAAUAUUAUUAUUAUUUUAUCUAUUUUCUAAAAUUAAAUUAUUGGGAAUUUGACUUAUUAUAAUUUUUUGAAUUAUUUUAUGUAAAUUUAAAAUUUGCAUGACGAUAAUAUCAUCAUUUUUUUACGUAGUGGAAAUUUUGGGCUGAAUGAGUCAAAAAAAGAAAAAAAAAAAACUACAUCGUUGACCAUUUCUUCACGUCAAUUUCACUGACGCGCCCGCAAGUGUGUGCAAAGCACGGGUUGACCGUUUAAGCGUGUUUCGUAUGUGAUUAUUUUUUACUCUGAAAUUGGUGUCUGAAUCCAAUUAUUUUCGUAUAUACCUUUACACAUUAUAUUAUUAUUAAUAUGUAUAUAUAAAUUCUUGAUAAAUAAGUAAAAUUUUAAUUAAAAAAAUCUCCCAAUUACAUUGUAACACGAGGAGAGAAAAAAAAUCUCUGCAAUUGUAUAUGUGUGUGUGUGUGUGUGUAUAUAUAUAUAUGUAGAUGGACUGAGUUAGAAAUAAACUAGUAAUUGAUAAGUAGAAAGGGUUGCAAUCACUUGGCAGCAUCAUUGACUAUGAAAUGAAUAUUUAUAUACCUCCAACACGUCAGAUCUUUGAUUUUCAGAUUAAGAUGUGCUGAAUACUAACAAUAUAAAACGCAGAUGUUGCUACGGCAAUAUUGAUUCAACCAGAAUUUUCAUUUCUCCAAAAUUUAACUAUAGGCUGUAGCUACCCCAGUCAUGGCAAUUGCAGAAAUUAGAAUCAUAUUGCUUCUGCUAUCCACAUCCAUUUGGCUUCUUUCAUCAUCAUCUUCACCACCCAGCUCUGAAUCAUUCCCUCUCGCCAAACCCGGUUGCGCAGAUCGCUGCGGCAACCUAAUCAUCCCAUACCCAUUUGGGACGACCCAAGAAUGCUCUUACGAUGAUCGCUUUCUGAUCAAUUGCAACCAAACAUUUGAUCCUCCCUUACCCUUUUUUACAGCGGCCAAUAGGAGAGUCACCAGCAUCACGCUCGAGGGAAAGUUGAAAAUGAUGCAGCCCAUAAUAAGGCAUUGCUACAACAAGGCAGGUGAAUUGAUCAGAGCCGACUGGUCCUCGUUCCUAUCCAGCUUCAUGAUCUCCCCAACUGACAACAAGCUUGUCUUUCUUGGCUGCGACACUCAAGCUGAAGUCAUGUUUUCUCGAGGUAGUAAUCGGAGCCUGUUAUACAAAUUAGGCUGCUCCAGUACUUGCAACAGCCUUGAGUACGUAGACAGCAGCUCAUGUUCAGGUGUGGGGUGUUGCCAGAUACCAGUCGCUGUUGACAAACGAGUAAAUUAUAUUUUCAUAAAUAUGAGUAGCUUUAACAAUCAUAAGCUUGUUUGGGAGUUCAAUCCAUGUAGCUACGCUUUUAUCGUUGAGGAAAACCAGUUCAAUUUUUCUUCAAAGUAUCUUGGCGGUCUGGGAACAUUAAGAGAGCUGCCUUUGGUUCUUGAGUGGGUGAUUGGCGGUGCAAGUUGCAAGGAAGUGAAAGAGAAAAUGAUGCGUAAUGCUUGUGAGGAAAAUAGCCAGUGUUACGAUUCAGAAACUGUGUUUGGAUAUAAGUGCAAGUGCCAAGAGGGUUAUCAAGGAAAUCCGUACUUGCCUCAUGGUUGCCAAGGUUAGUGAUGAUCUCCUCCCCCUCCUCCUCCUCCUCCUCCUCCUUCUUCUUCUUCUUCUUCUUCUUCGUUUUCCAAAAAAAGAAGAAUGGAUGGUAAAGAUAUUAAUCCUGAAUAAAAGUUUUACUGUUAAUUAUGAACUCGGAAGCCUAUUUAUUUAAUAAGAUAAAGAUAUAAUAAAAGAAAUGAUUACUUAAAUGAAUAGAUCCUCAACUGUGCUGUAGAUAUAGAUGAAUGCAAAAGUCGAAGUCUCCAUAAUUGUUCACACGCUUGCUCUAACACAAAGGGAAGCUUUACAUGUUUGUGCCCAAAACGACAUCGUGGGGACGGAAGGAUAGGCGGGGAAGGUUGCAUUCUUGAGGAAUCUUUAUUAAUCCAUAUUACUGUCGGUAAGUAUUUGUACCUACACAUAAACUAAGGUUGACUAACACCAUUAUGUAUAAAUUAGGAUGAAAGGCAUGACAAAGUAUAAUUGAGUUUUGCAAUUUCAGGUUGCAGUGCAGGAUUUGGCAUAAUGGUUUUAGUGAUUGGUAGUUUGUGGUUAAGGAAACAAGUGAAAAGAAGGAAGAAAGUAAAGCUUAAGCAAAGAUAUUUUAAGAGGAACGGAGGAUUGAUAUUACAACAACAAUUGUGUGGCAGUAGUGAUGAGAGUAAUAUGGAAAAAGGAAAAUUGUUUAGUGCUAAAGAGUUGGAGCAUGCUACUAACAAUUAUAACGAGAAUAGAAUUUUGGGUAAGGGAGGACAGGGCACUGUUUAUAAAGGGAUGUUAGAGGAUGGGAGAAUCGUAGCUAUCAAGAAAUCAAAAGUUGUGGAUGAAAGUUACCUUCAACAAUUUAUCAAUGAACUUGUGAUUCUAUCACAAAUUAACCAUAGAAAUGUGGUAAAAUUACUCGGAUAUUGUUUAGAGACUGAAGUUCCUCUACUUGUUUAUGAGUUCAUCCCAAAUGGAACACUAUCUCACAUAAUUCAUCAAACUGAUAAUACCGAAUUCCUAUUUACUUGGGACAUACGUUUACGAAUCGCCACAGAAGUUGCAAACGCUUUGUCUUAUUUACAUAGUGCUGCUUCAAUGCCUAUUUAUCAUCGUGACAUCAAGUCUACAAAUAUAUUAUUGGACGAAAAAUAUAGAGCAAAGAUAUCAGACUUUGGGACUUCUAGAUCCAUUUCAGUUGAUCAAACUCAUUUCACUACUCAAGUACGAGGAACUUUUGGAUAUUUAGAUCCAGAGUAUUGCCAGUCAAACAAAUUUACAGAAAAAAGUGAUGUUUAUAGUUUUGGAGUUGUCCUUGCUGAGCUCUUAACUGGACAGAAACCGAUUUUUCCUGCACUAUCUGAAGGGGAUGAUAGAAGCUUGGCAAUCUAUUUUUCACGAUUCAUGAGGAAUAAUCGUUUAUUUGAAAUUAUUGACCUUCAUAUUGCCAAUGAGGUCGGAAAGGAAGAAGAAAUAACUACUGUUGCAAAGAUUGCAACAAACUGUUUAAACAUCAAUGGCAAGAAUAGACCAACAAUGAAGCAAGUAGCGAUAGAGUUGGAGAGGUUAAAAGGAAUAGACAAGCUUCCAACAAUAGAAGAGAUUUCUACUAACGAAAUGAGUCCACAUUCUCAACAUUAUGAUGGAGUUACUUCAGAGGAUGAAGAGACUGAAUACUUGCUUGUCACUACUGAAUCAUAAAUACUGUAAUACUAGUUCACUAUAUGAUAGAUAAGUCUCAUUAAACUAAAAAUUCACGAUGAUUUUUCUAAUUAAUUUUUUGUCAUAUAUGGUAUAUUACCUUAUUAAUCAACCACUGAAACGACAUACUAAUUUAAUUAUGAGAAAUAUUGAGAGUGUUAGAUAUGGUGCUUGUUAACAUGAUCCAACAAUUAUCACUAUAUUUUAUCAAUUAUUAUACAGUGUAUUCUUGAUCAUAAGUGCUACGGUUGCAAGAUAUUUGCAAUUAUUUUUAAAUUUAUAUAUAGCUUUGUUAUUUACAGCAAAAUGAUUUAAUAGUUUUGUUAAGGGGGAUAUAAUUUUUGAUUUUAUAUAUAUAUAUAUAUAUCAUAUAUUAUGUAUUUUUAAUUCAAAUGCUAUAUAUUUAGUGCAACACAAGUUUCCCAUGUACAUUUUAUUAACAUACACAACUACUUUCUAGUUAAUUAUGUAAUUCAAUUUAAAACUUCUAAACCCAAAGCAAUUUCCCCACGUAUAUUUUAUUUUCGAAUUGAAAAGACCAAGCCUUAUUUAUGUCUGUACCAAGAAAAUUAAUUGUUUUACAAUUAUUAAUACAUGUAUAUAUACACAUAUAUGUAUAUAUUAUCUAUUGAUUUAUAUAUGUAGUUAGUAUAAAACUUUAAUGGUGAUUCAAAUUAUGUAUAUAUACAUGUAUGUAUUUAAUAAUAUGCAAUGAACCGUUUACUCUUUCAAUUCUUAUUAAUGCUUUAAUAGUAUAUACGUACAUAUGUAUAUAUAUAAUGAAAAGUUUGUUUUUCUAGUCUUUGUAAAUGUUUUUGUAAUGAUACUAGAAAUAUUUAAAGGAAAUACAUGAUAAUUAAAGUGCGGAAUCAAAAUAAAUAUUUAAGAUUUACAUUACUUACAUAAUAAAUUAAAGUAUCAAUUAGUAUUUCAAAAUUUACCAUUUUGAAAGAAUAUAAGAAAUAAAAUAUGAAUGAAAAAUAAAAAAAUUAGCAUUUUACUCGCAGCUCUCUUGCGGAUUGGGCUCUGAAUUUUAAUUAUAUUGAUCUGAAAUAGUUAAAAAGGGAUAAGUUACACUAUAUUAGGGAGAAUAUCACACUAUAUCACCGACACAUAAAUAAAGUUUGGUAAAAAACGUAAAAAAAAAUAACUAAUAGAGCACUAGAUUAAGCAAAUUCAUUUAUCAAUAAUAAAACCAUUAACCGUCCACUUAUCGUAGUGAGAUUUAUAGAAAACAACCUAUAAAAAAUAAUAACAUUAUACAUAUCAUAAUUCUGUAUAUAAUUGGCAACAUAGCAUAUAUUACACUUUCACAUUCAAAUCAUCAAACAACAAUUGCCCAUUUUUUCCACCAACCUGUUGGUAUCCACGGAGGUUCAUAGGGAUCUCUACGCUACGCGUGAACUUUUUCCUUUAACAUUCUCAAUUACGGGUCGUCCCCAUACCCCGUCCGGUAUGAGUGUCAAAUUACCAAAGCUCAAUACCUUAUUUGGUAUGAGGGUGAAGCGGGCCGUCCCUAUAGCCCGUUCGAUAUGAGUGCCAAGUUACCAAGUCUCCAUACCUCGUCCGGUAUGAGACACGUCUAUGGUAGGGUUCCCUGUAUACUCGGUCCAUCCACUAUCUCCCAGUAUGUCCAAUAAAGCUGCCGUUUCAUCCAGUCAUUUAAUCACACAAGUCUUCCGUUUACCUUUACCCUCUAUUUUUUCAAUUUAAUCGUAAACACGUAAAAUAACAAACAUACAUUCAAAACUAUAAAAUAAAUCAAUAAGGCACUAUCAUGCAUUUAAACUGUAAAAACAAUCAACAGAAAUCAAUAGAGAAUAGUUUCCGAUUCUACCUCUAUUAACUAUCCGUAAUUAAUCAUGAAAAUUUCUAAAUUGUACAAAAUAUCAUAUUUAUUGUUAAUUAGACUUUAAUUCUAUAACAGAGAAUAGAUGAGAGAUUCUUACUUAAUUUGGUGCGCAAAAGGCUAAACUAUUGAUUGCGUCUACUAGCGGUCCCCGGGUUCUCUAAAUUUUUUUUCGAGAAUAAAAACGUGUUAUAAGUACCUAUAAAUGUCCCAAACUUAAAUCAGUUUCAGGGCCCAUUUUGGCCAAUUUUGGGAUUCCACCACGGCGGCUCCGCAAUGCUCCAGUGACGGCGGUCCACCUCGGAUCGGCUGUUUUCGGCUAUUUUCGGCCAGAUUCGACCGAUUUCGCAUCAAUUCCUGUGAGAAAAUAUGUUAAAGGGACUCGGUUGGCUAAAAAAAUACAAAAAAUCGAAACUCACUGGUGGCAGGACUCUCUAGUGCGACGGCUCCUCCGGCUCACGUUGCAGUUGGAUGUUUUAUUCCGGUCAACCUGUAGAGAAGAAAACGGUGAUAACAAGGGUAGAAAAAUUAUGCAGAACAGGAAUCGGGAGGAGUCUCAUCGAAGGCGUUUUGUGAAAUUUUCCGUGGUGGUGUUACCAGGCUUUACCCAUAUUUUUCAGGCAAUCGGCCGGUCUUUUUACUCUAAUUUGGCCAUGGGUGUGUUUAAAAUAAAAUUCUAAGUAAAAUUUUUUUUUUACCUCUUUUCGCGGUUGGAAAGGACUCCGAUCGCAGUAGCGGCGGUCUCCUUCCCAGCGACUGGAUCUUCUUCUCCGGUGAGGGGGUCUGGCGGCUAGGGUUAGAGUUUGGUGUAGAUGAGAGUUAUUUAUAUCCGUCCGCUUUUGAUAUGGAUCGUCCAUCGCGUUUGAUCUGAACCGUUCGAUCGCGAUUAAAUAGGGAGUGAAUCUGGACCAUUCACUGCGAUCCAAUAUGAACUGUUCACUGCGAUCUAAUCUGGACCGUCUGAUCACGUUCAAAUCUGACCGCCCGAUCGCGUUUGGGGAGGAAAUGCAUCUGGGUUGUUCGUGCUCGCAGAAACGGAUCUGAGCUGUUCGAUCGCGGGCACGCGGAUCACCCGCAUGGCACCGCGUCAGCGUCCGCUACCACGCGGUGCGUCUUGAUUCGUCAGAGCUGCUGACCGGGCAUCCUACAUGACGAAACUUCUCUAACUUGUAUUUUGACCUUUAGUUUCUGAUUUUUCUUUCAAAAAUACCUAAAAAACUCAAAUUUUUACUAAUUUUUCCUAAAAUUGUUUUCAAUUUAAUCCUCAAUCAAUUUUAUUUUAUUUUUACUCUAAAUUUAAAUUAAAAAAUUAAGAAAUUAUAUUUAUAAAUAAAUCUUAAAUUACAUUAAAAAUUAAUUUAGGGUAUUACAAUUUUAAUUUUCUAAAAUACUUUCUCACAACAUUACUUAUCAUAGUGAAUAUGGGAUCUGAUAGGUCACAGUUAGAAGUUAAAAAAAUUGGUAAAGAAAUUCUCUUCGGGUGAGAAUAAACUACAAAAUUUUUUGAUUCAAAGUUGUCUGUUUUCCUUGUUACUUGGGAAUGGUCUAAGUAUAUAAAAAUACAACCGCAAAUUUCUAUAUUUAAACAACUAAAGAUAAUGGAGGAAAUGGGAUGGUGCAACAACUGCUUCAUGCAACAACAGCUUGUUGACCGAUUUUGCAGCAAUGGCUAUUUUAUCCUUACGUUCUAUGACUGAAAUAUGCAGCUUAACAAGAUUAUAUUCUUAAAAAGUGAUUAUAUGUAUGGUAAAUCUGGGAUCUUUUAGGGACUAAUAAAUUUAUGAAGUCAACUCGUGUGAACUUCAUAUUACCAUACAACAAUUGUCGAAGUAAGAGCUUGUUGGUUGUAACUUUGAAUCGCUUAACAUUCAAGAACUCUUAAAUUUAGGAUGAUGAUCUCUUAAAAUUGUAAAUACCAUAGAUUACUCAUGGUCUUAUGGACCAUUUCUCAUAAAUAUUAAAGUUAUAAUCUUUUCAUAAUCCUUUAAAAGUUGUACUCAAUAUUUAGGUCUGUACGUCUGAAGCUAGCUUCGUCUAGAUCUUGGCUUCUCCUUUCUUUGGAGAAGCACAAUCCUUAAGCAUAUAUGAUUAUGUGUUAUAAGUAAAAUUGAACACCCAGUAUGUAGAGAAGGAUAUUUCACAAGCUUUCCACCAUAAUUUCAUACAUAAACUUGAACAUAUGAAUUUAUAAUGGCAAUAAGUAAAUAAGCCACGAACAAAAGAGUCUAAGAAUAAAGAAUUAUUGUUUAAUUAUAUAUCCUCUAAGUUUGACAAGUAAUGUGAUUAAUGGAUAAUUGAGGUUUAUUAUUCUUUAAUUAGUAAUUAAGUGUCUUGAAUAUCAAUUAAUCCAUCAGAUUAUUUAAUUAAUCUAUUAAAUUAAAUGAAUAAAUUUAUAAUAUGACAAUGUCAAAAGAAACUAGUUAAAUCUCAAUCAGUUUUUUUAUUUUUUUCAUUUUUUUUUAUAUUAUUUUUAAGCAUCAUUCAGGUUGGGUCUAAUCAAGUUUUAAUCAUGGUAGGAACUUAUAGCAGUGAUGUAAUUAAUAGUUUAAUUGAACUUUGGCGUCAGCUUGCUGGUGGUAUUUCAACAUUCAUGUUAAUUAAGCUUAAUUUAAUUAAUUAAUCAUCCAUUUGUGCUGAGAAAUAGUCUGACUUUCAUAUUUUCUUAAAACCUAAAAAUGAAAUAUAUCAUAAAUUAAACUCAAGUUUACAUUGUCAAUUAGGGUAAUUCUGAAAGUAAUCUGGCCUUUCAUAGUCACGUACAUCAGCUGAAAAACUUGUAGUUGUAUUAAUAAUAUUUGUGAGAUAAUAUAUGGAUAAGUAAGAAAAAUUAUAGUUGAGUUAGUAAACGUGAUUUAUAGAGAAGUCAAAGAAGUGAAUUGGUCUGAACUUGAGGUUGUCAAUAAAUGAAGAAUCAAUCUGCAACUUCAAGACUGCAAAGACAAACACUUGUAGACAUUGAAAUAUUCCAUACCAGAAUCUAGAGAAGCUGCUGUGUGUAGGAGCAUGAAAAGCUACGGUGUUGUUGUAAUAUUUAUGGCGAUUUGGGUGGUAAUAACAGCAGGUUUUCCUAUUGCUAAACCUGGUUGCCGAGAUACUUGCGGCAACGUUAGCAUCCCAUACCCGUUUGGAGUCUCAGAAGAAUGUUACUACGACAAACAGUUCUUAAUCAACUGUAAUGAUACAAUUGAUCCACCCAAAGCAUUUUUAACAGGAAGCACCAUCAAUGUCACGGAAAUCACACUUGAAGGAAAGCUUCAUGUCUUGCAAUUCUUGGGUAGAAAUUGCUAUGCCAAGAAUGGUACCCGGCUUUUAAAAAGACGGCCGAGUCUCAGUCUGUCCAAAUUCAUCAUCUCUGAUACUGAUAAUAAGUUUAUUGCUAUUGGUUGCGACACCCAAGCCUAUCUAGAUGGUUACCAAGCUUAUCAAAUUCUAGGAUACACCGUAGGUUGCAUUUCGAUCUGUCAUAGCAUUCACUACGUAGCCAACUUUUCGUGUUCGGGCAUCGGGUGUUGUCAGACAUCCAUUGCCAAGGGUGUAAGUUACUUUGAAGUUGAUAUAAAUAGCUUCAACAACCAUACUGAAGUCUGGAACUUCAACCCCUGUAGCUUCGCGUUUGUUGUCCAAGACAGCUGGUUUAAUUUUACUUCAAAUUAUCUUCGUGAUUUACAAAAUGUAACAAAGAUUCCUAUGGUUCUUGAUUGGACAAUUGGAAACGAGACAUGCAAGGAAGUGAAACAAAGGACGUUGCGUAACGCAUGCGAGGGUAACAGCACUUGUUAUGAUUCUGAUAACGGGUCUGGUUAUCGUUGCCGGUGCUUAUCUGGUUAUGACGGAAAUCCAUACCUCCCUGAUGGUUGCCAAGGUAUCUCUCUCUCUCUCUCUCUCUCUUUCCAUAUAUAUAUAUAUAUGAAUAAGUUUUUGUUUUAUAUAUAUAUGUAUAUAUAUAUAUAUAUAUUAUCCCCUAUACAUGAAGUAGCUUUUGGUAAGCAGAACUUCAGAAACAAAUAACAAUUUCCUGCGACUCAUUUGCAGAUAUAGAUGAAUGCAAAGAUCGAAGUCAUAAUUGCACCCACAUCUGCACUAACAAGGUGGGAGGAUACAAUUGUUCAUGCCGUAAAAGACAUCACGGAGAUGGUAGAAAGGAUGGAGAAGGAUGCAUUCCUGAUAGGCCUCUGGUGAUUCAAAUAACUGUCGGUCAGUAUCCAACCUGUUACAUAAUUUUGAAUUCAUAUAAUAAUGCAAAGCAAUUGGAAUAUUAUGGCGACAUGAUUAAACUGAUAUAUAAUUUGUAGGUGUUGGCGUGGGGAUAUUGGUAUUGCUAACGGGUAGCUCAUGGCUGUACUGGGGUUUCAAUAAAUGGAAGCUCGUGAAACUGAAAGAGAAAUUCUUCAAGCAAAAUGGAGGGUUACUGCUGCAACAGCAGCUUUCGAAAAAGGAAGGAUGUUCAUCAUCAGAGACAGCUAAAAUCUUCACGGCUGAAGAACUUGAAAAAGCAACCAAUAACUAUGCAGAAAGCAGAGUUCUUGGUAAAGGUGGUUAUGGAACAGUUUACAAGGGGACCUUGACGGAUGGUAGAAUUGUAGCAAUAAAAAAAUCUAAAGUCGUGGAUCAAACUCAAACCGAUCAAUUCAUUAACGAAGUGCUUGUUCUCUCUCAAAUCAAUCAUAGAAAUGUUGUGAAACUUCUGGGUUGCUGUUUAGAAACAGAAGUACCUUUGCUUGUUUAUGAAUAUAUAACCAAUGGCACCCUUUUCGAUCACGUCAACGAUAAGAGCAGAGCCUCGAGCCUCACAUGGGAAACUCGUCUGAGAAUAGCAGCAGAAACUGCAGGAGUGCUAUCUUAUUUGCAUUCUUCAGCUUCUAUUCCGAUUAUUCACAGAGAUAUCAAGUCGACAAAUAUUCUCUUGGACGAUGCUUACACCGCGAAAGUGGCUGAUUUUGGUGCUUCAAGAUUGGUUCCGCUUGAUCAAGUUGGCUUAUCUACGAUUGUUCAAGGAACUCUAGGGUACUUAGAUCCUGAAUACCUCCACACGAGUCAGUUAACUGAGAAAAGCGAUGUUUACAGCUUUGGAGUUGUCAUUGUAGAGCUGUUAACUGGAAAGAAGGCGCUGUCGUUCGAAAGGCCAGAAGAGCAGAGAAACCUUGCAAUGUACUUCCUUGUAGCUGUAAAAGAGGAGAGACUGGUUGAAAUUCUGGACGAUCAUGUUAAGAAUGAGUAUAAGGUUGAGCAACUUGAAACAGUUGCUAAUCUGGCAAAAAGAUGUUUGAGAGUGAGAGGAGAAGAAAGGCCAACCAUGAAGGAAGUUGCCAUGGAACUAGAAGGAAUAAGAAUGACAGUACAGCACCCAUGGGUUAAUAAUGAGGAGUCAUACAGUGAAGAGACUCAGUACUUGCUCGGAGAGUCAAUUAUAGAUUCUACUCAAUUUGGUGAGUGUAGCACAAAUGGGUAUGAUAGCAUCAAGAAACAUGUCCAGCUAACACCAGUGCAUGAUGGGAGAUGAAAUUAUACACACUCUGCUGGAAAAUUUUGAUUCUCCAAAUUCCAAAUGCUAGUUAAGAAAGUUAUGUUGGUAAACUUUACUUAGAAUUUACAUAUAAUUAGACUAAACUAUUUGGAGAGCCCAAUACCAUGUUUGCUCUGCGAUUCAUGUUUAAGGUUGGGCCUCAGACAUUUCUCGCUUUCGUGCAAAAUAAAAAAAGAAGAAGAAGGAGGAAAUUUUGGAAAAGUGCAAGAAGAUUCGAAAUUCCAGGUCAAAGCAAUCCUGCAUGAAUCUCUUUUUAAACUUUCACGUCCUUUCGUAUCUUCCUUGGGCCCCCUAUAAAUCUUCUCCUGCUGCUGCCCAUUUUUGCUUUUACAAAAUGAUACUUAAAUUUUCAGAGGAUUCUGCAAAAAUAAUAUGAUUGAUUAUACAUAUACAGGUUACAAUAAUACUGUAUAUAUUGACAGUAAUCUUAAACGUCAAACAGCUUUACUUCUGCUGCUCCCACUGAUCGCAAAUCCGAGUCAUAUUCAUCCCCUUUUUGAAUUCUUUCGCUAUAUUAAGCUCGUGCAUGUUUCUAGCUAUACACCUACAAACAUAUAUAUAUAUAUAUAUACAUAUGUAAUCCAUAUUUAUAACCCAUUUCCUUUACAAACCGUUCCCAUGUUGUCAUGCUGUCACAUAUCAAAUCGCUCAGCUUUUUAUUUUUAAUUAUCAUCUGUCUCCAUAUAAUAUAUAUAUAUAUAUUGUCAAGUCAUGAAAUGUUUAUAUACGUAUAUCUACUGAAGUCGCAUAUUCCAUUAAAUCCUCUAUAAUCAAUUUGUCCCCCCAAAAAGAUUUAAAAUUAAUUACGCCAAGCAUGACAUCUAAUUAUAUGUCUAUAUAUAUGUAUGUAUAUAGUAUGGCCCCCUUUCACUUUACUUAUUUGCUUGCCAUUAUUAUGAUACCUUCUAAAACCCAUAUAUAUAUAUAUAUAUUAUUAAGAACUUAUCAAGGUUUAACACAAGAAUUUUUUUUUUUUUUUUUUGAAAGAAGAAAGAGAUAAACAACUGGGUAAGCUAUAAAUAAUUAUAAAAGUAAAGUGGAGGGAGAUAGAAAGAGGAAAAAGAUAUAACUCCUUUAGGGCAAUAUAUUCAACUUGAAGGUAUGUAGCUAUAGAUUUUCAUAUUACUAUUCUGCCAAAAAUUUGAUAUGUGAAUUAUCCAAUUUGGGAACUUUACACGACAGAAAGCAUGACAAAGGACAUCCUAAGAUAAAAAAGAAACUAUCACCACCAGACAUGUCAAUUUGAUUUAGAUAAGUUGACCCCAUCAUCGUUCUACUUUUCUAUAUUUGUAUGCCACUUUGAUCCGCAACGUUAUCUUGACCAGUACCACACCAACUAAUUACUUAUAAACACUUCGUAUAUACUGUUACAAUUCUAUGAGCCACCUCCUCUCUGUGAUAAUCUCUUCUGCAUAUAAAAUACUAGUGUCUCUGCAGUGUGUGUGUGUGUGUGUAAGUGUAUGUGUACAUAUAUAUCUCUAAAUAUAUACCUACGUGAUUCUCCUUUUGUAACAGUAUAGCUGCUGUUUUCUUUUCUUUUCUCAUUUUCUUUUCUCUUGGAUUGGAAAAAAAGAAAUGCGAAAAAGGAAAAUAUCAACUAGUCAUGUAUUUACAUUAAAGUAAAACAUUUUUGUCUUCAACAAUUAAUAUAAGCGCAACUUAUGUAAUUAUAUAUAAAAGAUAUAAACAAUGAUGAUGGUGGUCAAGUAGAUAAUCUUUAAGAGCCAUGAGAAACUCGUGUCCAGUUUCUUUCAAGCUUUAACUUGUAAUUGUAAAGAAACAAUUAGUUUAUUAAUUAUACCAAGUCAAGAAUACAUAUGUAUACAUAUAUAUAUAUAUAUGUACUCGUGCCCAGUUUGAAUCCUGAUGCGAUGAACUAUGAGUCAGUUUGUUGUGUCAAUAAUUAGAGAUUCACGAUUGGCAGCUAGCGACAUGGAGACUUUAAUUUUGUACAGCUUAAUUUAUAGCGUACGUAGACAUUUCACUUUUGCAUGUCAUCACCACGUCGUUUUAUUCAGGUUACUUUGAAGAUAGUAAUGAAUACUGAUCAGGUUAAGUGCAUGGUCAACCACAUAUUUUAGUUGCUAUGCCAUACUCUAAUUUUUUGUAAUAUUUUAAAUUAAUUUGUAAAAUUCAAAAUUUAUAUAUAAAAUUUAAUUUUUAAUUUUAUAAAUUAUUAUUUAAUAUAAAAUUAGAAAAAAAAAUAGGUGAAUAAUGAAAUUGAAAAUAAUUUAAAGAAAAAAUGGUGAAAUUUUGGGUUAUGUGGAUGUUUUUGAUAGAAAAAUCGAAAACUGGGAUCAAAAUAUAAUUUAAGUAAUAUGCCACAUAGGACGUUUAGUUAGCAGUCUCGACGAAUCGGAGUGCGUCGUGUGGUAAGACACGUUGACACGGUGUCACGCGGGAGGUCAUGCUGACGAUACGCGUGCCUGCAAUCGGACGGUCCAGAUUUGUUCCACCGCACGAUGAUGUUCCUGAUCCGUUCCCUCCUCAAAUACGAUCGGACGGUCGCGAUUAAACGGUAGGAACGGCCCAGAUUCACCUCCUAUUAAACGCGAUCGUACGGUCUAGAUCAAAUCACAAUAAAUAGUUUAAACUCACUUAUUAUUUAAACGCGAUCAUACGGUUAAGAUAAAACGUGAUGGACAAUCCAGAUUAAAAGGAGACGGAUAUAAAUACUCAUCUUCACACCAAACCCUAACCCUAGCCGCCAGACUACCCCGUCAGAGAAGAAGAGCAAGUCACCGAAAAAUGAGCCGACUGUCACCCGUUGUCACAUUGGAGCUACUUUCGACUGCCAAAAGAGUUAAAAAAAAUUCAAUUCCCUCGAAAUUCCAUUUUGAGCACUCCUAUAGCCAAAUUGGAACAAAAGAACAUGCGGAUGAGUCGAAAAUCGCGAGUAGAGCCCGGCGGGGCCGCCGCGGAAAAAAAUAAAAAUUGCAUCUAAUGAGACCCUUUCCGAUUUCUAUUUCGUGUAAUUUUUUCAUUAUUAUAAUCAUCAUUUUUUUUUUCUACAGGUAGACUGAAGCAAAAUAUCUAACUGCAAAAGUGAGCAGGCAGGGUCGCUGCAAACGAAAACUUCGCCGCUGAUAAACUUCAGUUUUUCAACUUUUUUCGGCCAAUUGAUGCCUCCUAACGUGUUUUCUCGCAGGGAUGGGUACAAAAUCUGCCGAAGUCAGCCAAAAUUUGCCAAAAACGGCCAACCCGAGGCAGACCACAGCCUGCGGCGACGGUGCCGUUGCCGCUCUGCCGUGCUGGAAUUCUGAAAUUGGCCAAAAGGGGUUUCUAAUACUGAUUUUGGAUUUUAGGAUGUAUUUUUAGGUAUUUAGAGUGUGUUUUAAUCUACGAAGAAAAAUUUAGGAAACACAAAUACCGUCAAUAGGUACACCCAAAAGUUUAGCGUUCGGACACCAAUUCGAGUAAGAAUCCAUUACCCUAUUCCUUGUUAUGGAAUUGAAGUUUAAUUAUAAACAAUGUGGUAUUUUGUACAAUUUAGAAAAUAUCGAUAAUUAAAGGUUACUAAUGAAGUCAGAACUGGUUAUCUAUUUCUGUUUAGCAUGUUUAACUGAUUGAUUGAUUUUACAGUUUUUGAAUAUAUGAUAAUAUGCUCGAAUUGGUAUAAUGAUUCGUUUAUGUUUCUUGACGCAUGUAUUGCUUGUUUUGCAUGGUUCACAGUUAAAUUGAGAAACUGAAAAUUAAAGAUAAACAGGAAAUUAUUUGAUUAAGUAAAUGGAUGAAUAGUAGUUUUACUGGAUAUCUUGAAAGAUGGUGAACGGAGCGGGUACAUAGGGAAUGUUAUCGUAAACGUUGUCUCAUAUCGAAUGGGGUCUCGAGGAUUGGUAAUUUGACGCUCAUAUCGGUCAGAGUAUGGGGACAACCCGUUUUACCCUCGUACUGAACGGAGUAUUGAAGAAUGAUAUUUCUUGGCGUUUAUACUGGACAGGGUAUGGAGACGACCCGUUAGUUGAAUUUUUAUUUAUUGUUUUAUUAUUAGUUGUUUUUUUAAAAUUGUCAUUCUCGUAACACUAUUGAGUAUUUCAAAUUAUUGUGUGAAGAAUGUAAACUCUAAUUUAUUGUUUUACUUUCUCAUUCAAUUCAUAAUUUAUUUUAUCUCAAGUUCAGGGAUCGUUUUAAUUUUAUUUUUUGAUUAAUAUAUAUAUAUGUACAUAUGUCAACAAACCUUAGAUAUAGAAUACUUUAUUUUUAUUUAUUAAAGUUCAAAUAUAAACUAGUUAAACUACCGUAAUCUUGUCUGAGAAUCUUGGUCCUAAAACAGCUCCAGUCCAAGCAACUUUAUAGCUUUAUGAGAGUUUAUACAGAGCUGGUUUUUUGAUUGUAUGUUGUCCAAAUAUUAUAUUAUGUACUAUGAUGAGAUCGUGUUGUUGCUUGCUUACCUAUAUAUAUCUUGUUUUAGUACCUACCUGAUUGAAACCAUUUGUCCCUUAAUAGUCAAAAGUGUUUUGUUUAUACCUAUAUACAUAUAUAUAUAUAUAUAUGUAUUUAUGUAUGUGGUUAAUUAGGCAAUUAUUUACAAAAGUGUAAAACUCAAGAUUGUUAUUAAUGAAUAGGUAAAAAAAAACAUUGGUGAUAAUUCAAAUGACUAUUAGUACAAAAGAAGUAUCUAACCUAUACACACACACACACACAUACAUAUACUUUGGUAGCGUAUAUAUAUAUAUGUAUGUAUUUAUACAUGUGUGUGAAUGGGAACUUUUGGUUGAAUAUUUUAGAUGAAAAAGAAGUGGGAGUUCCCCUUUUACACAACACUGCACAUGCAGGUCGACUUAAUUCAGCUAUACUUAUUAUAUAUAUAUAUUAAAGCUUGCUCCUCCACUUGUAUAUAAUAAUAAUUAUUAUUAUUAUUAUUAUUUUAAAUUUCCAUAUUAAUUAAGCUACUUUUUUUGAGCUUGUAAAAAGAAAAGAAAAGAAAAGAAAGCUACGGCUAGUCAGUUUGUAAAUUCAUAUAUUUUUUAAACUUUUUUUAUAUUUUAACGUUCUGAAAAUUAGGAUAUUCAGAACUGAUGAAUAUAUAUAUUUCGUUCGCGCGUGUGUGUGUGUAUAUAUAUUAUAUGUAUAUAUGUGGACGGCCUGCCAACCCACGUCAAGUUUCAUGCAAGAUUACUUUCAUUAAGGGGGGGAGGAAAAAAAAAAGAAAAAUUCAUUUUAAGAAAAUGAAAAUGUCAGAAGUGGGAUUUGAACCCACGCUCUCUAACGAGAACCAGAACUUGAGUCUGGCGCCUUAGACCACUCGGCCAUCCUGACGCUGGUGUUCUCUUGGCUUCCCAGAGAGAUAAUAUAAAAAAACUUGACUAAUUUUUUGUUAGUUGAAAUGUGGGGCCCAAGAGUGAGGUGGAAUCCACGCAUGGAGUACAGAGUGAGGUGGAUGAGCAUCUCUUUUUGGUUACCUAAAAAAAAAGCCCAAGUCGGUUUCUACUUUUUAAAGCCCCCCCAACCACCUUCCUCAUCCCAAAAAUAAAUUUCUAUAUUUUAUAAUUUACGAAUUUUAUUUGUAAAUUUUUACGAGUUUAAUAAAGUUUUUUUUAUUAAAUAAAAUAAAAUAAAAUAAAAGUAUCCAUAAACCCAUAUAAAAAUAAAAAUAAAAAGAGUAAAAUUAUUUUUCAAAAAAUCAAUUUGACUUGAGUCCUUGAAAAUUCAAUGGAGAAAAUAUAAAAUAGAAAUCUUGGGAGUGGGGGAAGAGGAGGCAUUGAGAUUUGAGAAGGACACGUGUCCGUUGUUUACAUUCAUAGGACACGUGUCCACCGCCCCACGAGCACCCCUCUUGAUUCACGCUUAAAUUUUGAUGCCUAAUUUUUUUUUUAAGAUACAAUUAAUCUUAAAUAAAUAAUUAUAUAUUUUAUACAAACCAAACCCAAUUGUUGACUAUUUUGAAAGACUUGACUAUACAUACAUACAUACAUACAUACAUGUAUAUAUAUAUGUGUAUCUAAACUUGCAAUUUCAUGCAAACAAUUUAAACAUACCCAUUUGCACAUGGAAAUGACAAAAAGAUGGAUUCAAAGAGAGUUCUACCAAAUCCAAACUUGACAUGUCCUUACAAAGAACAAAUUCGAACUCAACUCAACGUAGUCAUUUUAUUAUAUUAAUAUAAAUUUAAUUAUAUUUAUUAAUAUAAACUUAAAUAUAUUUAUAAUAAAAAAAAUUAUAUAUUUUACUAAAAAAUUAAAUUUAAAAUAAAUUUUGUUUUGACUUACUUUUAUUUUUUUCCAUCAAUAUGAAUUUAACCCGAUUCGUAUAUGUAUUUUAACAAAAAAAAAGCAUAACAGAUCGAUUAUAAAUAGAUCAAAUUAAGUAAAUUUAUAUAUUUUUAUCAUAUGUAACUGUACAAAUAAUAUAAUACAAAAUAAGAUAAAGUAAAGUCAUAAAUUUUUUAUUUAUUUUGAUAUUUAUAUUCAAAAUUAUUUGUGAAAGAAAAAUUAAAUUGCAAUCAGCUAAUUUAGUAAACUCGAUUAUAUUUUUGAGUUCGAUUGUAUUUCUUUACUUUCAGAAGUUGAAGAUUAGAGUUUUAAUUUUUAUCUAAAGUAAAACUAAUAUAUAUGCCGGUAGCUGAUUAGAUUCUUAAACAUAUAUCUUCAAACACGAUUAUUAGGUCGAAAACUAUGUACAAAAAAUUUAGAUUAGUCAAUUACUUCAGAUACCCUUUGGGGGAGAUGAAGUUUUAUCAAGACCAGUUUCUUCGUCUUUGUAGAAUAUUAAAACUUGUUUCAAUAUUGGAAAAAAUUAAAUCUCUUUUUACAACUUUUUCAAGAUGCUUUGAAAAGUAGGGGUAAAUUUUCUUAAUUAAUGGCCUUUAAUCUUCUUUCCAGGAUUUUAAGUAAUUAAUUAAGAUGCCUUUGGCAUUAAUCCUUGAUUAUGAUAUGUAUUUUCUUUUGUUAAAAAAAAAUUAUAAAAAUUAUUAAAACUAUAGAGUAAAUAAAUUUAACGUAUCCUACGAGUUUGAUUUUAAAUUUUAUGAGAUAAAUCAUUUCAAAUAUGAUGAAAUUAAAACGAAGAAUUAGACGACACUUAGUUGUCUCGGCAUCAACCAAAAAUGAUUUCAGUUCUUCUAAACCCUGAUAAACAUCGAUCGUGAAAAUUAUUUUGAAAUAUUUUGUUAUCUGAAAAUUUCUUUGAAAUUCUUUCGACGUUGUCUUUCGAUAAUUCAAUUAUCGUAGAAAAUUAUUUGAUAUUUUUUAAAAAAAUUAUGAAAUUAUUAUUUUUCUCGAUUUCAUAUUACCCUUUUUAAGUAUACCAAAGUCUUUAAAGACUGUACAUAUCUGAAUAUUUUGGUGGAUUAUGAAUGCUAGCUGUUUUAUGUGAUGUUUUUCUUUUUCUUCUUUCAUGAAGAUUAAGCGUGCAUGCAUGUGAAUAAAAGAAAUUAGUACACAAACACCUAAAAAGUGAAAUACCCCAAUGAUAUAUAUAUAUAUAUAUAUAUAUACAUAUAUCAUAUUCUUUAUCUUUAUCCCCCCCUCUAUUCCUGUCUUUGUCUUAAGAUAAACAUUAUGAUUGUAUAUACAUGGUCAUUUUAUUUCAAAUAACACAUCUCCAAAUACAGCAUAUGUAUACAUAUAGUUUUCAUCUACCAAAUUAUGAUGUUCUCUUUUCAAAAGGGUACUUGAAUAUUCAGAUAAUUAUAACAACUCUAUAAACACCAAGGCUGUUAUACUAAUUAAACUAUAAUUAUAUAUAGGAAUUUACACCAUUGGGAAGGUGCCAAAAA
Molecule: long non-coding RNA, 40005 nt
Filed under: Carica papaya (papaya)
Lineage: Eukaryota; Viridiplantae; Streptophyta; Magnoliopsida; Brassicales; Caricaceae
Description: long non-coding RNA (CPAP_LNC008084)
Source: RNAcentral